RNAcentral lists this small nuclear RNA (164 nucleotides) under Puccinia triticina 1-1 BBBD Race 1. RNAcentral describes it as "U2 spliceosomal RNA". It matches the Rfam family "U2 spliceosomal RNA". From Rfam's summary of the family: U2 is a small nuclear RNA (snRNA) component of the spliceosome (involved in pre-mRNA splicing). Complementary binding between U2 snRNA (in an area lying towards the 5' end but 3' to hairpin I) and the branchpoint sequence (BPS) of the intron results the bulging out of an unpaired adenosine, on the BPS, which initiates a nucleophilic attack at the intronic 5' splice site, thus starting the first of two transesterification reactions that mediate splicing. Lineage: Eukaryota; Fungi; Basidiomycota; Pucciniomycetes; Pucciniales; Pucciniaceae. The record is from Rfam by way of RNAcentral.
AUUCAUUCUGGCAUUUAAUUGGCUUAGAUCAAGUGUAGUAUCUGUUCUUAUCAGUGUAACUAGAGUUCAGCGGCGGCUACACCACCCUCUCCAAGACCCAAGUCAAGCCAUCUUGUAUAAGUUUUAUUACUCCAGUAUAAAUUAAUUAAGUAAAUACAACUUUC